CGCGUAGGCGGGUACCUACGGCGGUGGUGAAAGCUCCCGGCUUAACUGGGAGAGGCCCAUCGCAACGGGGUAUCUCGAGGGUGGUAGAGGCAGAUGGAAUUCCUGGUGUAGCGGUGAAAUGCGUAGAGAUCAGGAGGAACACCUGUGGCGAAGGCGGUCUGCUGGGCCAUGCCUGACGCUGAAGCGCGAAGGCCAGGGGGAGUGAACGGGAUUAGAUACCCCGGUAAUCCUGGCGGUAAACGAUGGAUACUAGGUGUCAGUGGUAUCGACCCCGCUGGUGCCGUAGCUAACGCACUAAGUAUCCCGCCUGGGGAGUACGGCCGCAAGGUUGAA
RNAcentral lists this ribosomal RNA (333 nucleotides) under uncultured bacterium. RNAcentral's name for it is "bacterial SSU rRNA". It matches the Rfam family "Bacterial small subunit ribosomal RNA", at positions 568 to 898 of the family's 1533-position model. The record is from RNAcentral.